This 1658-nucleotide non-coding RNA is filed under the name synthetic construct. The record is from RNAcentral.
GUUCUUCAUGAAUGUGUUUUUUCACACAAAUAUUUUAUACCUGACAGGAUCGAGGACAUGUGUUUCCCGCUGACCAAAAUACUCACUGUGCCCUUCCUCAAGGCCCUAGAUCUGUAUCUCUCCCAGUUUUCCAUCUCAUGCAAGUUUCCCAUAAUUAAAAUAUCCACUGUGAAUCCUACCCUUCUGGCGUUUACCAAGAAGAAAUAUCUGGCUAGUGUUGUGUCUGAUCAACCCAUCGAGGUCCCUGCUCCAUCUGCCCGGCCUGAUCCUGUGAGGUUUACUGCUGCGGUGCCCUUAGCUUCUGAUGAGCAGUCUCUGGUGAAAGCUUUACAUUCCAGUACCGGGACAGUCCAGUGUGGAAAUCCAUUUUAUUAUAUGAUGACCAGACUUUGCUUGUAUGGACUAAUGCAUGGUAGGGGGGGAAUUGUGCCAGUUUCCAGCUCUAGUAAGCAGAGUGUAUAUGAUGUGGCUAUAAGAUUUAUAGGUUCUAGGAUAUUGAGCCCGAUAGUGAGGCUGCCAAUUUUAUCCAGGGCUUUGGCAGACCUGGCGCUGACGGGGCACGGUCAUCAGAUAACAGUGUGUAAUGAAUGUGGCCACUGUUUAAAUUUGGGCAGGGAUAAAUUUCUUGCAGUAAAUUUUUCCCCCACAAGUAUGUUUUAUUGCAGAGAUCAAAAGGAGAAACAGUUUAACAUAUGUGCUACAACUGGGAGGAUCUAUUGUUCAUAUUGUGGGGCGACAGAGUUUACAGUGUAUGACAUGGUGGGAAGGUAUGCUACGGGGGAGCCUUUUAUUAGGGCGGUUUCCUCAGCUAACUCCCUUAGUAUUUUAGAUAAUAGCGAACAGGAGUGUGAUAUACUGAUCCCUUGUUUUGGUAAAUCUAGGUCUUGCAGUAUUAAGCUGAGGGCGACAUUUAGGGAGCUACUUUAUUUGACAGCGUCUGUUGAUAAUUUUAUUUGUCAAAAGUGUUCCAAUAAGGGUGAUGAAUAAAGACAGGGUCAAAGCUCCAGCUUUCCACCCAGAGCUCCAUAACAAGCUUUUGGAAAGGCUUAAGGCUGCCUAUGGAAAGGACAGUAUUGGCAAAGACCCAGAAGAAGCCCCAGUUCCCCUGUUGUUGCAUACCUGUGCAGUUAGAUUCUAUGAAGAGUACAAAGAAUUGACACGUGAUAACACAUUGCCUACAUUGGUAAACAAGAAAGGAUUCCCGGGGGAUGCCAAAAUGAUGGACCCUGUCUUGGGUAUCUAUCACUCUGGAAAAAAACAGGGAGCAUCAAGUGUCCCUUCCUCUUCUGGAGCAUUUGACGGAGGGAGCCACGGUGGCCCUCUACCUUCUGUUGAUCUUCCUCAAAGGGAGGGAGGCCUGUGGUACGGACUGGGCCCUGACAAGUCUGGACUGGGUUUUGUGCUCCCCUCUGAUCCAGGGUCUAUGUCUGACGGGAACAGCUUUAGGGUUAUUCCAGACCCCUCAUCUCUAACAGACAAGGAUGACCAGAACUUGGGGGAAUCGACCAAAACAAGGAGUGGAAAUGGAAAGAAAAAGUAGACCCUUGACCAAAGACUGUUAAAUGUAAAGCUGUUUUAUUCUUUUUAGAGUAGACAGCAUAUAUGAUGAAUGGUCGUGUACACUUUUGAUUAUCUUCUCAAUAAAUAAUAAUACAUUA